RNAcentral lists this ribosomal RNA (908 nucleotides) under uncultured bacterium. RNAcentral describes it as "bacterial SSU rRNA". It matches the Rfam family "Bacterial small subunit ribosomal RNA", at positions 21 to 902 of the family's 1533-position model. The record is from RNAcentral.
GGCUCAGAACGAACGUUGGCGGCGUGGAUUAGGCAUGCAAGUCGAACGCGAAAGAGGGGGCAACUCCUCGAGUAGAGUGGCGAACGGGUGAGUAACGCGUGAGAAACCUGCCCAGAAGUGGGGGAUAACACUCCCAACGGGGUGCUAAUACCGCAUGUGGCGAGCGGCCCGCAUGAGCGGCUCGCUGAAGGUGGCCUCUGCUUGCAAGCUACCGCUUCUGGAUGGUCUCGCGUCCGAUUAGCUAGUUGGUGAGGUAACGGCUCACCAAGGCGACGAUCGGUAGCUGGUCUGAGAGGAUGGUCAGCCACACUGGGACUGAGAUACGGCCCAGACUCCUACGGGAGGCAGCAGUCGAGAGGCUUCGGCAAUGGGGGAAACCCUGACCGAGCGACGCCGCGUGGGGGAUGAAGGCCCUUGGGUUGUAAACCCCUUUCGACCGGGAAGAAAGAUCGCCGGGUGAACAAUCCGGCGGUUUGACGGUACCGGUAGAAGAAGCUCCGGCUAACUCCGUGCCAGCAGCCGCGGUAACACGGGGGGAGCGAACGUUGUUCGGAAUCACUGGGCGUAAAGGGCGUGUAGGCGGUCCGGUAAGUGGGAUGUGAAAUCCCCCGGCUCACCCGGGGAACUGCAUCUCAUACUGCUGGACUUGAGUGCGGGAGAGGAUGGGGGAAUUCCUGGUGUAGCGGUGAAAUGCGUAGAUAUCAGGAGGAACACCUGUGGCGAAGGCGCCCAUCUGGCCCGUUACUGACGCUGAGGCGCGAAAGCUAGGGGAGCAAACGGGAUUAGAUACCCCGGUAGUCCUAGCCGUAAACGGUGGGCACUAGGUGUUGGAGGCAUUGACCCCUCCAGUGCCGCAGCUAACGCAUUAAGUGCCCCGCCUGGGGAGUACGGCCGCAAGGCUGAAACUC